AUCCAGGUGGCCAAGUGGAAAGGCGACGGAUUGCAAACCCGUCUAUCGUGGGUUCGAUUCCCACCCUGGAUUCCA
This 75-nucleotide transfer RNA is filed under the name Romeriopsis navalis LEGE 11480. RNAcentral describes it as "tRNA-Cys". It matches the Rfam family "tRNA". From Rfam's summary of the family: Transfer RNA (tRNA) molecules are approximately 80 nucleotides in length. Their secondary structure includes four short double-helical elements and three loops (D, anti-codon, and T loops). Further hydrogen bonds mediate the characteristic L-shaped molecular structure. tRNAs have two regions of fundamental functional importance: the anti-codon, which is responsible for specific mRNA codon recognition, and the 3' end, to which the tRNAs corresponding amino acid is attached (by aminoacyl-tRNA synthetases). tRNAs cope with the degeneracy of the genetic code in two manners: having more than one tRNA (with a specific anti-codon) for a particular amino acid; and 'wobble' base-pairing, i.e. permitting non-standard base-pairing at the 3rd anti-codon position. Lineage: Bacteria; Bacillati; Cyanobacteriota; Cyanophyceae; Leptolyngbyales; Leptolyngbyaceae. The record is from RNAcentral.